CUUGCUGCCAAUGUCGAAGGGAUCUUUCAAAUAACAAUCUGACAGGGGAUAUUCCAGUUAAUGGAUCUUUUUCGCUUUUUACUCCCAUCAGUAAGAGGGAGGAGAGGGUAAUAUAGCUUGAUCAAGUUGGUGUUGUAGUUGUUGUAUGGGAUGCAGGUUUCACUCAUCUACUGUCUUUGCAGCUGAG
Pyrus x bretschneideri (Chinese white pear) is the source of this 187-nucleotide long non-coding RNA. RefSeq lists it as uncharacterized. The record is from RefSeq and is a predicted model, not a curated record. The transcript has 3 exons. Lineage: Eukaryota; Viridiplantae; Streptophyta; Magnoliopsida; Rosales; Rosaceae.